UACGUAGGGUCCGAGCGUUGUCCGGAAUUAUUGGGCGUAAAGAGCUCGUAGGCGGCUCGUCGCGUCGACCGUGAAAACCCGCGGCUUAACUGCGGGCUUGCGGUUGAUACGGGCGGGCUAGAGUUCGGUAGGGGAGACUGGAAUUCCUGGUGUAGCGGUGAAAUGCGCAGAUAUCAGGAGGAACACCGGUGGCGAAGGCGGGUCUCUGGGCCGAUACUGACGCUGAGGCACGAAAGUGUGGGGAUCAAACAGG
Molecule: ribosomal RNA, 253 nt
Filed under: uncultured bacterium
Lineage: Bacteria
Description: partial 16S ribosomal RNA
Rfam family: Bacterial small subunit ribosomal RNA
Source: RNAcentral